This 281-nucleotide ribosomal RNA is filed under the name uncultured bacterium. Its description in RNAcentral is "partial 16S ribosomal RNA". It matches the Rfam family "Bacterial small subunit ribosomal RNA", at positions 123 to 406 of the family's 1533-position model. The record is from RNAcentral.
AACCUGCCCCUAACUCUGGGAUAACCCCGGGAAACCGGAGCUAAUACCGGAUAUGAGACCGAGUGGCAUCACACGGUCUGGAAAGUUUUUCGGUUAGGGAUGGGGUCGCGGCCUAUCAGCUUGUUGGUGGGGUAAUGGCCUACCAAGGCGACGACGGGUAGCCGGCCUGAGAGGGCGACCGGCCACACUGGGACUGAGACACGGCCCAGACUCCUACGGGAGGCAGCAGUGGGGAAUAUUGCGCAAUGGGCGAAAGCCUGACGCAGCGACGCCGCGUGAGG